RNAcentral lists this ribosomal RNA (653 nucleotides) under uncultured bacterium. RNAcentral describes it as "bacterial SSU rRNA". It matches the Rfam family "Bacterial small subunit ribosomal RNA", at positions 202 to 842 of the family's 1533-position model. The record is from RNAcentral.
GAAAGAUGGUUUUGCUAUCACUUAUAGAUGGACCCGCGCCGUAUUAGCUAGUUGGUAAGGUAACGGCUUACCAAGGCGACGAUACGUAGCCGACCUGAGAGGGUGAUCGGCCACACUGGAACUGAGACACGGUCCAGACUCCUACGGGAGGCAGCAGUAGGGAAUCUUCCGCAAUGGGCGAAAGCCUGACGGAGCAACGCCGCGUGAGUGAUGGAGGGUUUCGGCUCGUAAAACUCUGUUAUUAGGGAAGAACAAAUGUGUAAGUAACUGUGCACAUCUCGACGGUACCUAAUCAGAAAGCCACGGCUAACUACGUGCCAGCAGCCGCGGUAAUACGUAGGUGGCAAGCGUUAUCCGGAAUUAUUGGGCGUAAAGCGCGCGUAGGCGGUUUCUUAAGUCUGAUGUGAAAGCCCACGGCUCAACCGUGGAGGGUCAUUGGAAACUGGGAAACUUGAGUGCAGAAGAGGAAAGUGGAAUUCCAUGUGUAGCGGUGAAAUGCGCAGAGAUAUGGAGGAACACCAGUGGCGAAGGCGACUUUCUGGUCUGUAACUGACGCUGAUGUGCGAAAGCGUGGGGAUCAAACAGGAUUAGAUACCCUGGUAGUCCACGCCGUAAACGAUGAGUGCUAAGUGUUAGGGGGUUUCCGCCCCUUA